Molecule: ribosomal RNA, 497 nt
Filed under: uncultured bacterium
Lineage: Bacteria
Description: partial 16S ribosomal RNA
Rfam family: Bacterial small subunit ribosomal RNA
Source: RNAcentral
GAUGAACGCUGGCGGCGUGCCUAAUACAUGCAAGUCGAGCGAACGGACGAGAAGCUUGCUUCUCUGAUGUUAGCGGCGGACGGGUGAGUAACACGUGGAUAACCUACCUAUAAGACUGGGAUAACUUCGGGAAACCGGAGCUAAUACCGGAUGAUAUUUUGAACCGCAUGGUUCAAAAGUGAAAGACGGUCUUGCUGUCACUUAUAGAUGGAUCCGCGCUGCAUUAGCUAGUUGGUAAGGUAACGGCUUACCAAGGCAACGAUGCAUAGCCGACCUGAGAGGGUGAGCGGCCACACUGGACCUGAGACACGGUCCAGACUCCUACGGGAGGCAGCAGUAGGGAAUCUUCCGCAAUGGGCGAAAGCCUGACGGAGCAAAGCCGCGUGAGUGAUGAAGGUCCUCGGAUCGUAAAACUCUGUUAUUAGGGAAGAACAUAUGUGUAAGUAACUGUGCACAUCUUGACGGUACCUAAUCAGAAAGCCACGGCUAACUACGUG